UACGGGAGGCAGCAGUGGGGAAUUUUGGACAAUGGGCGAAAGCCUGAUCCAGCCAUUCCGCGUGAGUGAAGAAGGCCUUCGGGUUGUAAAGCUCUUUCGCAAGGGAAGAAAACUUACUUUCUAAUAAAGAGUGAGGUUGACGGUACCUUGAUAAGAAGCACCGGCUAACUACGUGCCAGCAGCCGCGGUAAUACGUAGGGUGCGAGCGUUAAUCGGAAUUACUGGGCGUAAAGCGUGCGCAGGCGGUUUGGUAAGUCAGAUGUGAAAUCCCCGAGCUCAACUUGGGAACUGCGUUUGAAACUACCAGACUAGAAUAUGUCAGAGGGGGGUAGAAUUCCACGUGUAGCAGUGAAAUGCGUAGAGAUGUGGAGGAAUACCAAUGGCGAAGGCAGCCCCCUGGGAUAAUAUUGACGCUCAUGCACGAAAGCGUGGGGAGCAAACAGGAUUAGAUACCCUGGUAGUCCACGCCCUAAACGAUGUCUACUAGUUGUUGGUGGAGUAAAAUCCAUGAGUAACGCAGCUAACGCGU
RNAcentral lists this ribosomal RNA (529 nucleotides) under uncultured bacterium. RNAcentral describes it as "bacterial SSU rRNA". It matches the Rfam family "Bacterial small subunit ribosomal RNA", at positions 340 to 860 of the family's 1533-position model. The record is from RNAcentral.